RNAcentral lists this ribosomal RNA (768 nucleotides) under uncultured fungus. RNAcentral's name for it is "eukaryotic LSU rRNA". The stretch from base 207 to 360 matches the Rfam family "5.8S ribosomal RNA". Lineage: Eukaryota; Fungi. The record is from RNAcentral.
GGAAGGAUCAUUAGUGAUUGUAAAUUGUCUUACCUUCAGUGCUGGCUUUUUCUCUUAGCAUGUGCACGCUGGGAGGGCAUAUUUAUCCAUCCAAUACCCUUUUGUGAACCUCUGGCCUUUACCGGCUUCGGCUGGUGGAGGAAUUUUACACCCUCACGAAUGUAAUGAGAUAAACCUUGUUGUGCAAUAGCACUACAAAAAAAUACAACUUUCAACAACGGAUCUCUUGGCUCUCGCAUCGAUGAAGAACGCAGCGAAAUGCGAUAAGUAAUGUGAAUUGCAGAAUUCAGUGAAUCAUCGAAUCUUUGAACGCACCUUGCACCCUUUGGUAUUCCGAAGGGUAUGCUCGUUUGAGUGUCAUUAUACUCUCACACUUGCCCUAAUUGCUGAUUAGAGCGAGCGGUGGACUUGGGUGCUUGCCUGGACGGAACUUACUGUCAGGCUCAUCUGAAAUGCAUUAGUACGACUGCUAGUUGGACAUAGUACGGCGUGAUAACAUAACCCUCGCUGUUUUAGGUCUGAUUAGGAGCCUGUGCUUCCAACCGUCUUCGGACACUAGCUGAUAACUUGACCUCAAAUCGAGUAGGACUACCCGCUGAACUUAAGCAUAUCAAUAAGCGGAGGAAAAGAAACUAACAAGGAUUCCCCUAGUAACGGCGAGUGAAGAGGGAAAAGCUCAAAUUUUGAAUCUGGCACCCCCGGUGUCCGAGUUGUAAUCUAGAGAAGUGUUUUCCGUGGCGGACCGUGCACAAGUCUUCUGGAAUGGAG